GGCUUAGAGUUUGAUCAUGGCUCAGGAUGAACGCUGGCGGCGUGCUUAACACAUGCAAGUCGAAUGUAGCAAUACAUGGCGGACGGGUGAGUAACGCGUGAGCAAUCUGCCCAUAUCUGGGGGAUAACAGUUGGAAACGACUGAUAAUACCGCAUGAUAUCAUUUGAAGGCAUCUUCUUAUGAUCAAAGAUUUAUCGGAUAUGGAUGAGCUCGCGUCUGAUUAGCUUGUUGGUGAGGUAACGGCCCACCAAGGCGACGAUCAGUAGCCGACCUGAGAGGGUGAUCGGCCACAUUGGAACUGAGACACGGUCCAAACCCCUACGGGAGGCAGCAGUGGGGAAUAUUGGGCAAUGGAGGCAACUCUGACCCAGCAACGCCGCGUGAAUGAUGAAGGUCUUCGGAUUGUAAAGUUCUUUUCUAAGGGACGAAGAAAGUGACGGUACCUUAGGAAUAAGCCUCGGCUAACUACGUGCCAGCAGCCGCGGUAAUACGUAGGAGGCAAGCGUUAUCCGGAAUGACUGGGCGUAAAGGGUGCGUAGGUGGUUCAGCAAGUUGGCAGCGUAACUCCGAGGCUCAACCUCGGCACUACUGCCAAAACUGUCGGACUUGAGUGCAGUAGGGGCAAUUG
This 628-nucleotide ribosomal RNA is filed under the name uncultured organism. RNAcentral's name for it is "bacterial SSU rRNA". It matches the Rfam family "Bacterial small subunit ribosomal RNA", at positions 1 to 663 of the family's 1533-position model. The record is from RNAcentral.